UGGAUUCAGGUCAUUGCUCCCUGUCCUCUCUCCGAGGCGCCGCGGAAUGUGACUAAUUCCCUCCCUUCAUUUACGGGUCCUGUUACCUGGGAGGUAUUUAUAGUGUGACAGCCUCCCUCCCUCCCCAGCGACUCAGCUGCUCUCCCUCCAGGCCAUCUCUCCCCCACUCAGCCAACCUUUGCCUCCCCUCUCCUGCCACAGCUCCACCACCUCCCCACGAGCCCUCCCCGCACCUGCCAUUCCCCUGGCAGGAGGAGAGGCAGGCUCAGGUGGGAGGGGCCUGAUCCAGUGGAGUGGAGUGCUAUCUGCAAGGGGGAUGCCCCUCCCCUCUUGAAUACCCCAAAAAGGCAGCUUAGGGGCCAGGCUGGGGGACGGCGACAAUUGGCUGACCCCUCUGUGACCUCACCAUGCAGUCUGAUAUCAACAAGAGGCAACAAUUAUUGAGUGCAUACUGUGUGCCAGGUAACACUGUUAACUUUCGUUUGCAGAUAAGGAAACUGAGGCUCAGAAAGGCCAAAUGACCGCCCUCAGGUCUUUAUAGCUGGGGUGGGGUGUUCCUGCACAGCCACCCUCCAGAGCCCAGCAUGGUGUGUGGGAAUACUGGCCCCAAAAGGCAGGUUGGGUCGGGUAAGGACUGCAGGAUCCUUAGGGGGUACCUGAUCAAAACCCAUCUCACAGACCCAGUAGUGUCCCUACUGGUCCCAAGCCAUGGCUGGUCUGCCCAGGGGUUGUCAGGGAAUGGCAUCAGAUGGAGUCCACUGCCUGCCCCACACAUAUCCCCUCCUCCAAGCAGGGAUCACUAAGGAGGUGGAGUGGGAGGGCACAGAUCUAGCCAAAGACAGAGAACAGGGGAGCCCUGUGUCCAAAGAGGAUGAAUGAAGGGAAACUACAGCAGAAGGGAAGGAAGUCAGACCCCAUGCGGAACUUACAGGUAUGGAAGGCCAAGGCGGGGACCAGCUGCCCUUUCACAUCUCCAGUCUCACAACUGCCCUACGCUCCUUUUCACAGCUGGGAUGACUGAGACCCUGAGAGGCAAAGAGACCAGCUCAGGUUUUCCCAAAUUCUCUAACCAGAAAUCCACAAUACUCAUAAAGUGGCUUUGUCAAGAUUUCUAGGAGACUGGAGGGAAUGGAGGAGGAGGCUGAGUUCAAAUCCAGCCUUGUACUCACAAGUUUGGUGACAUAAAGCAAGUAACUUUGCCUCUCUGUGACUUGAUUCCCAUUUGUAAAACGGGCUGACAUCACACCUCACUCAUACGUGGCCAUAGGACUCAGGGACCUGAAACAGGCAGAGUCCUGAGCGCGAGGCCAGGCAUAUGGCGGCAACUCCACGAAUGUCGGCAGGUAAUACUGUGGUUUGUAUUUUUCCCCGCUUCUUUCUUCUCUCUCAGAUCUGAGCAAAGGGGCCAUAUCUCUUCCCUGAGACUGAGGCAUCCUGAGGACAAGAGCUGUGUUUCUACCAUCAGCCUGCCAUCAACUGUCCUUGGGACCAGGAAGUCCCGGGCAGGCUGCUGUCGGGAACUAACCUUCACUACUGUUAUCAUUAUUUUCAUUAUCAACAGUCUAUCAUUCUCUAUGGCUGUAGCCCCACCAGCACACACCCAGCUAGGCUUUUGGCUCUUGUCUGGAAAACACUGCCACAAAUAUGCACCACAGUUCCCACGUGAGCCCCAACUAGGGUGUCACACUGGGUCCAACAGCCCCCACUGUACCGCCAUCCUCCAUCACCACUAACCCCCACCAUGGGGUGCCAGGAGCUGGCCUGGAAGAAGAAAGACACUGAGUCAUUCUGAUUCCUGCUUCAGGGAGCCAGAGCCAGGCAGCCCAGGCAGCCCCUCCAAGGGGGACAUCAGGGGCAGGGUUAGGUCCCUGGAACACUCCUGGCAGCCGAGGGGCUGAGCAUGGCGUCCCCAGCAGCCAGAUUUGGGAGGGGGUAGAGGUAAGAAAUGGCAGGGCUUUAGUGACUGGGCCCUGACAGAACAGGAAGGGACAGCAGCAGGCAUCUGUGAGCACCCCUAUCCAUCUGGCACCUGGCCAGGUCUCCAUCACACUGGGAACAAGGGAGCCCCACUCAAUUUACAGGUAAAGGCUACAGACUCAGGGAGGUCCUGUCAACUGCCAGCGAUCACACAGCACCUAGUAGGUGGGGGCAGGUAAUACCUGCUCAGAUGCCCACAACCUUUGAUCCUCAUGUCCUGAGUGGACAGCCAGACCCAAGGUUUGGGUGGGGUGGGUGGAAGCAGCCAGCAACGCUGUCCAUGCUGGCAGAUGGAGGGUGGGAGCGAGCAUCACAGGAGAGUGGGAACAGAUGCCAGGGAGCAGGACAGUGGAAGUGAGGCGCUCUGGGCCAACUCUUCAGCAGGGCAGUGCAAUGGGGUGCAGCCUAGGACUGGACAUCAGAGGCCUUAGUCUUCAGCCUGGCUCAUUCCAAGCCUAUUGUGGACCUCAGGCAAGGCCUGGCCUCUCUCUGAGUCUCAGUUUUCCCCAGUGAUGCUAUGGCACUCUGAGAUCCAAUAUUCUCCCUAGCAGUUCUGAGUCAGGCCUCCCCAGGCGUAUCAACGGGGCCCUGAGGCUGAGGGCCAAAGAGGGGUCUGUGCCUAGGUGGCCCUCCCCUCCCCACCCAUGGGCACACAGGGUCCUCGUUGAAGAAAUACAGUGUAUACAAAUAAUUAAACGGAAGAAUUGGAGUGAUUAGGGCAGAUGAUUAUUGUCAAAUUAUGAUUUAUCUUGUAGUGGAAUUAGUAUUCCCCCAAAGGGCCCGGCGUGGCGCGGCGCCCGCCACGGCCCGUGAUUAAUCGCCGUCUCCAGAAGGUCACCUCCAGCCACUGCAGAUUAACUCAGUGGGGAAACUUCUUUCCGUAAUUCAAGCUGUUGUUCCCACAACCUGUCAUCCGCCUCGAAAAAGGACGAUUUCGUCAGGGAGCCCAAGGUGGGGGCUGUCCGCUCUCCCAGCCCCUCCCUGCUGCAGACAUGAUAUAUGCGUCCAGAGGCAGCCAGGAUCUGCGGUGUACGGCGCAGCCACCACCCCCUUCCCCAACACACACAGGCACCCAGCUCCAGCCAGGUAGGGACUCCCCAGGAGGAAUGGAGGAUGGGGGGCAAUGGACCUCCUUCGGGAAGGUAGGAGAUGUAGAACCAACAGACGACAAAACGAUCCUGCUCAGGCCUAAAGCCGGGCCCUGCAGAGACCCCCAGCAGAGAGCAGCUUUCCUGACCUGAGAGCUGGAACCAAGAUCCCAUUUCCCCAGCAGUAGACACUGCCAAAGCCACCUGACAACGUCACCUGGGGCUGCUAGUCAUGGCCACCUCCAGGUCUGGGAGGGGGCUCAGGAUCCCUGAUCUGUCUGCCUGUGCAUGGAGAACAGUGGGGACAGAGCCCCCCAUCCCUGCCUUCUCACUUCAGCCUCUGUCCAUCCCUUAGUUCCCUGAGCAGGAGGGGGUAAAAAGGCCCAAGUGUCUGUCCUUCCUCUGUCUCAUUUACCUGCUAUCCAGCCCUGCCGGGGGUAGGGAGAUGUCUUGUGCCCAUGGUACAGAUGAGGAAGCUGAGGAAGGGUGAUCUUCUGCUCUGAAGCUGCUCUGGGUCCCCAGCACCCUCAGGAUUACCUCCAAGCUCCUUCAGGUUCUGCCUUUUGGGGGUCCAGCAGCCCUCCCAGGCCCGCCCCCCUGCUCAUCCUCCCCAACUCCAGAAACCCUCACUGUGCAAUAUUCUUUCAGGGCUCUCAGCUUUGCGUUCCUGAAAUGUGCUUCCUGUCCCCAGCCCUCAUCUGGAAUGAGGGUAGGGGAACAACUCUCUCCAAAAUCAUGGGGACUGAAGACUGGCAUUUUCUUUGGGGGAGAAGGGGGCUUUCCAUCCUCUGCUGCCGGGACUAUCUAACAGACAUCAUCCUCCCCUCAAGCUUUUGGCUGAUGGUGAUAAUAAAAACUCCCAUUUAUACUGCAUCUUACUUUCAAAAUUCCCUUUGCAACAUUCACUCAUUGACUCUUCAGGGACAAGCCCAAGAAACUUGUUAACCCCAUUUUACAGACAAAGAAGCAGACUGGAAGGAGGUGGCAGGUGUCUUACAGACCAAGACAGAGGGCUGUAAGCAAUGGCUGUGAGUCUGAGGGGGGUGAUUCUGGUCCCACCCCCACCCAGCCCACUCUGUGGAACCACUACCUCCCCACAGGGGCGGCUCCAAAACCUUUACCCCCAUCCUCCCCCAAGGCCCAGGUGCGGUGGGAGUAGAGCAGAUAGCCGGGGCAGGGACCCUUCCAGCUGAGAACCCUCUUCCUGUGAGCUCUGGGUGUAUGAUGCCGGUUCAUAACCCAACCACGCCCCUUACCAGCUGUGGAACCUUGAGCCAGUCACUUUACCUCUCUGUGCCUCUGUUUGCUCACCUGUAAAAUGGGUUCCAACCUUGCAGGGCUGUUGUGAGAAUGAAACAAGACUG
Long non-coding RNA from Equus caballus (horse), 4429 nucleotides. The record is from Ensembl. Lineage: Eukaryota; Metazoa; Chordata; Mammalia; Perissodactyla; Equidae.